RNAcentral lists this non-coding RNA (30 nucleotides) under Mus musculus (house mouse). Lineage: Eukaryota; Metazoa; Chordata; Mammalia; Rodentia; Muridae. The record is from RNAcentral.
UCAAUAAAUGUUCGCUACCUUGACCAUAUC